GACGAACGCUGGCGGCGUGCUUAACACAUGCAAGUCGAACGGAAAGGCCCUGCUUUUGUGGGGUGCUCGAGUGGCGAACGGGUGAGUAACACGUGAGUAACCUGCCCUUUACGUUGGGAUAACUGCAGGAAACUGGGGCAAAUACUGGAUAGGAGCUCCGGCUGCAUGGUGGGGGUUGGAAAGGUUCGGCGGUUGGGGAUGGACUCGCGGCUUAUCAGCUUGUUGGUGGGGUAGUGGCUUACCAAGGCUUUGACGGGUAGCCGGCCUGAGAGGGUGACCGGCCACAUUGGGACUGAGAUACGGCCCAGACUCCUACGGGAGGCAGCAGUGGGGAAUAUUGCACAAUGGGCGGAAGCCUGAUGCAGCAACGCCGCGUGCGGGAUGACGGCCUUCGGGUUGUAAACCGCUUUCGCCUGUGACGAAGCGUGAGUGACGGUAAUGGGUAAAGAAGCACCGGCUAACUACGUG
This 468-nucleotide ribosomal RNA is filed under the name uncultured bacterium. RNAcentral describes it as "partial 16S ribosomal RNA". It matches the Rfam family "Bacterial small subunit ribosomal RNA", at positions 28 to 507 of the family's 1533-position model. The record is from RNAcentral.